RNAcentral lists this ribosomal RNA (496 nucleotides) under uncultured bacterium. RNAcentral's name for it is "partial 16S ribosomal RNA". It matches the Rfam family "Bacterial small subunit ribosomal RNA", at positions 28 to 506 of the family's 1533-position model. The record is from RNAcentral.
GAUGAACGCUGGCGGCGUGCCUAAUACAUGCAAGUCGAGCGAACAGACGAGGAGCUUGCUCCUCUGACGUUAGCGGCGGACGGGUGAGUAACACGUGGAUAACCUACCUAUAAGACUGGGAUAACUUCGGGAAACCGGAGCUAAUACCGGAUAAUAUAUUGAACCGCAUGGUUCAAUAGUGAAAGACGGUUUUGCUGUCACUUAUAGAUGGAUCCGCGCCGCAUUAGCUAGUUGGUAAGGUAACGGCUUACCAAGGCAACGAUGCGUAGCCAACCUGAGAGGGUGAUCGGCCACACUGGAACUGAGACACGGUCCAGACUCCUACGGGAGGCAGCAGUAGGGAAUCUUCCGCAAUGGGCGAAAGCCUGACGGAGCAACGCCGCGUGAGUGAUGAAGGUCUUCGGAUCGUAAAACUCUGUUAUUAGGGAAGAACAAAUGUGUAAGUAACGAUGCACGUCUGGACGGUACCUAAUCAGAAAGCCACGGCUAACUACGU